UAUGUUUUGGUGUAUGAUGCACAAAAGUUUUUGAUACUUUUAGAAAUAGUUUAAUUCUAUUAAAUAUAA
This 69-nucleotide transfer RNA is filed under the name Anastrepha ludens (Mexican fruit fly). Its description in RNAcentral is "tRNA-Gln". RNAcentral also lists the same sequence under 2 other names. The record is from RNAcentral. Lineage: Eukaryota; Metazoa; Arthropoda; Insecta; Diptera; Tephritidae.